This 365-nucleotide unclassified non-coding RNA is filed under the name Hevea brasiliensis (rubber tree). The record is from RNAcentral. Lineage: Eukaryota; Viridiplantae; Streptophyta; Magnoliopsida; Malpighiales; Euphorbiaceae.
AAAAAACAAAAAAUUUUUGUAUCUUAGAAACUGUGAAAUUUCAAUUAUGCUUCUGCCUGCCAACUUCCAUUGUGUGCUCUGUUUUCUUUAGCAAUCUGCCUCUCUGCUUUUUUUCCUGCUCUCAAACUACACUCUCUUAGAAGUUGCUUCCAAGUUCCAUUGUUUUGUGCUCUCAAACUACACCCCCUUUUUUCUCUUUCUGCUCCUAAACUACAAUCUCUGAGUUUUCAAGGGUUAACUAGAAUUCCCUAUUUUAAAAGUUUCGAAAAAACAAAUAAAACGGAGUUUGCUGUCGUUCUUUUGGCUUCUUCGAUCUCAUUUUGAAUUUAUUUUCCCCCUUAUCUUGAAAGAAGAAGGAGAAGAAG